This 468-nucleotide ribosomal RNA is filed under the name uncultured bacterium. RNAcentral describes it as "partial 16S ribosomal RNA". It matches the Rfam family "Bacterial small subunit ribosomal RNA", at positions 28 to 507 of the family's 1533-position model. The record is from RNAcentral.
GACGAACGCUGGCGGCGUGCUUAACACAUGCAAGUCGAACGGAAAGGCCCUGCUUUUGUGGGGUGCUCGAGUGGCGAACGGGUGAGUAACACGUGAGUAACCUGCCCUUGACUUUGGGAUAACUUCAGGAAACUGGGGCUAAUCCCGGAUAGGAGCUCCUGCUGCAUGGAGGGGGUUGGAAAGUUUCGGCGGUUGGGGAUGGACUCGCGGCUUAUCAGCUUGUUGGUGGGGUAGUGGCUUACCAAGGCUUUGACGGGUAGCCGGCCUGAGAGGGUGACCGGCCACAUUGGGACUGAGAUACGGCCCAGACUCCUACGGGAGGCAGCAGUGGGGAAUAUUGCACAAUGGGCGGAAGCCUGAUGCAGCAACGCCGCGUGCGGGAUGACGGCCUUCGGGUUGUAAACCGCUUUCGCCUGUGACGAAGCGUGAGUGACGGUAAUGGGUAAAGAAGCACCGGCUAACUACGUG